RNAcentral lists this non-coding RNA (27 nucleotides) under Drosophila melanogaster (fruit fly). Lineage: Eukaryota; Metazoa; Arthropoda; Insecta; Diptera; Drosophilidae. The record is from RNAcentral. RNAcentral also lists the same sequence under 2 other names.
CUUCCGUAGGUGAACCUGCGGAAGGAU